CGCGACCUCAGGUCAGGCGGGG
RNAcentral lists this ribosomal RNA (22 nucleotides) under Acacia elata. RNAcentral's name for it is "partial large subunit ribosomal RNA". The record is from RNAcentral. Lineage: Eukaryota; Viridiplantae; Streptophyta; Magnoliopsida; Fabales; Fabaceae. RNAcentral also lists the same sequence under 15 other names.